Molecule: ribosomal RNA, 503 nt
Filed under: uncultured bacterium
Lineage: Bacteria
Description: partial 16S ribosomal RNA
Rfam family: Bacterial small subunit ribosomal RNA
Source: RNAcentral
AUUGAACGCUGGCGGCAGGCUUAACACAUGCAAGUCGAGCGGGGUGAUGGUGCUUGCACUAUCACUUAGCGGCGGACGGGUGAGUAAUGCUUAGGAAUCUGCCUAUUAGUGGGGGACAACAUCUCGAAAGGGAUGCUAAUACCGCAUACGUCCUACGGGAGAAAGCAGGGGAUCACUUGUGACCUUGCGCUAAUAGAUGAGCCUAAGUCGGAUUAGCUAGUUGGUGGGGUAAAGGCCUACCAAGGCGAGGAUCUGUAGCGGGUCCGAGCGGAUGAUCCGCCACACUGGGAAUGGGACACGGCCCCGACUCCUACGGGAGGCAGCAGUGGGGAAUAUUGGACAAUGGGGGGAACCCUGAUCCAGCCAUGCAGCGUGUGUGAAGAAGGCCUUAUGGUUGUAAAGCACUUUAAGCGAGGAGGAGGCUCUUUUGGUUAAUACCCAAGAUGAGUGGACGUUACUCGCAGAAUAAGCACCGGCUAACUCUGUGCCAGCCGCCGCCGUAA